UUGAACGCUGGCGGAAUGCUUUACACAUGCAAGUCGAGCGGCAGCGCGGGGGCAACCUUGGCGGCGAGCGGCGAACGGGUGAGUAACAUAUCGGAACGUACCCAGACGUGGGGGACAACUAGUCGAAAGACUAGCUAAUACCGCAUACGUCCUGAGGGAGAAAGCGGGGGAUCGCAAGACCUCGCGCGUUUGGAGCGGCCGAUAUCUGAUUAGCUAGAUGGUGGGGUAAAGGCUCACCAUGGCGACGAUCAGUAGCUGGUCUGAGAGGAUGAUCAGCCACACUGGAACUGAGACACGGUCCAGACUCCUACGGGAGGCAGCAGUGGGGAAUUUUGGACAAUGGGGGAAACCCUGAUCCAGCCAUUCCGCGUGAGUGAAGAAGGCCUUCGGGUUGUAAAGCUCUUUCGGCAGGAACGAAACGGCGGAAUCUAAUACCAUAGAACGAUGACGGUACCUGAAGAAUAAGCACCGGCUAACUACGU
Molecule: ribosomal RNA, 482 nt
Filed under: uncultured bacterium
Lineage: Bacteria
Description: bacterial SSU rRNA
Rfam family: Bacterial small subunit ribosomal RNA
Source: RNAcentral